RNAcentral lists this ribosomal RNA (441 nucleotides) under uncultured bacterium. RNAcentral's name for it is "partial 16S ribosomal RNA". It matches the Rfam family "Bacterial small subunit ribosomal RNA", at positions 338 to 795 of the family's 1533-position model. The record is from RNAcentral.
CCUACGGGAGUCAGCAGUGGGGAAUAUUGCACAAUGGGGGAAACCCUGAUGCAGCGACGCCGCGUGAGUGAAGAAGUAUUUCGGUAUGUAAAGCUCUAUCAGCAGGGAAGAAGAAAGACGGUACCUGACUAAGAAGCCCCGGCCAACGACGUGCCAGCAGCCGCGGUAAUACGUAGGGGGCAAGCGUUAUCCGGAUUUACUGGGUGGAAAGGGAGCGUAGACGGCGGUGCAAGGCUGAAGUUGAAGCCCAGGGCUCAACCCUGGGACUGCUUUGGAAACUGUGGGGCUAGAGUGCUGGAGAGGUAAGUGGAAUUCCUAGUGUAGCGGUGAAAUGCGUAGAUAUUAGGAGGAACACCAGUGGCGAAGGCGGCUUACUGGGCAGUAACUGACGUUGAGGCUCGAAAGCGUGGGGAGCAAACAGGAUUAGAUACCCCUGUAGUC